UAAGUUAUUACUCCGGACUUUUACCGGGGGUUUUGUAGGUUAUGCAACCAAAAAUACAUAGUUUCUAAAGAAUUUCUCAUGUCCUGUAAUUUCUGUAGUCCUAAUAAAUAAGCACUUUUACGUAUUCAAAAUAUUUUUGUGAAUUAGAUAAAGAAAUAAACAGAAAUUAUCCCCCCAAUCAACCAAGAGAACAAAUACAAUAAAAAAAAAACAAUUCAGUCAAGUGAAGUCAAAUAAUAAUUGCAUGUAUGUACUACAUGAUUUAUGAUUUAUUUAAAAUAAAAUUGUUUUUAAAUAGUAUCAUCUGGUAUCAUUUAGUUAUUAGUAAACAAGAACUGGUACACUAAGAUAACUAUAUAAUAAGUAGUCAAUUUGUAGUUAAAAAAUUAUGUUACAUAUAAGAACUUUUAAUAAAUUCAGGUUAUUUGAUUUUCAAUAUGUUUACAGAUCAAUAUCCUCAAUUCCAUUUGAAAAUCAGGUAAACAAGAUAGAAAACCUAGAAAAUAAUCCUCUAACAGAUUCGUUUGGCAGGCAUCAUACAUACUUGAGAAUCUCUCUUACAGAAAGGUGCAACUUGAGAUGUCAAUAUUGUAUGCCCGAAGAAGGAGUAUCACUAACAGAAAAAACUAAACUUUUAACUACAGACGAAAUCCUGUAUAUUGCUCAACUAUUUGUUAGACAGGGCGUUACAAAAAUACGUUUAACUGGGGGUGAACCUACUGUUAGAAAAGAUCUCGUUGAUAUUAUUGAAAAUUUAAAGAAAUUACCUGGCUUAGAGACUGUUGCAAUGACUACUAAUGGGUUAACUUUGACCAGACAAUUAGUUGCUCUACAAAGAGCAGGACUGGAUAUACUCAAUAUUAGUUUGGAUACACUAAAUGCAAAGAAGUAUGAGAAAAUAACCCGUAGAAAUGGAUGGAAAAAAGCAAUGGCAGGUAUAGACCUAGCCUUGCAACUUGGAUACAACCCAGUUAAAGUCAACUGUGUAGUAAUGAAAGGAUUAAAUGAUGAAGAAUUGCUAGAUUUUGUUGAACUUACAAGAGAUAAAUCUCUCGAUGUAAGAUUUAUUGAGUAUAUGCCUUUUUCUGGCAACAAGUGGCAUGAAAAUAAAAUGGUAUCGUACAAAGACAUGGUCGAUAAUAUUAAAAAGGUUUACAAAGAUUUUGGUCCUUUAGAAAAUGGACCAAACGAUACAUCUAAGGCAUGGAAAGUACAAGAUUUCAAAGGACAAAUAGGUUUCAUAACAUCAAUGAGCGAACACUUCUGUGGCUCAUGCAAUCGACUAAGACUUACGGCCGAUGGAAACCUAAAAGUGUGCCUUUUUGGCAACACAGAAAUAUCGCUACGCGAUGCGAUCAGGGCUAAGUGUUCGGAAGAUGACCUGACGACUCUGAUUGGCGCGGCAGUAAAGAGAAAAAAGAAACAACAUGCAGGCAUGUUCAAUUUAUCGCAAUUGAAGAAUCGUCCAAUGAUUCUUAUUGGUGGAUAGUAUAAAAGUAAACUGUUUUAGUGUGUAUUAAAACUAAUUAUUUUAUAGUUUCCAAAGAUUCAUCGGCAGACCUACAAUCAAAUUACUUUAAUAUUCCAAAAUCAACAUUGUAUCAUUCAAACUUAUCUCAUCUGUUCUCAAACCCGACAUCCCUAACUCUGAAACGCUGUUAUUCAACCAGAGACACUCUAUCUCACGUCAACGCACAAGGAAAAGCUUCUAUGGUAGACAUAAUAAAAAAAGAAAUCACAGUUCGGAGAGCCACAGCAUCGGCAGUUGUCAAAGUCGGUGCUGCCAUAACCAAGCUUAUUAGCGACAAUUCCGUUAAAAAAGGAGACGUGCUGAGCAUAGCUCAAAUUUCGGGGAUCUUGGGCGCGAAAAAAACUUCAGAAAUAAUUCCCCUCUGCCAUAACAUUCCCCUAA
RNAcentral lists this unclassified non-coding RNA (1912 nucleotides) under Sitophilus oryzae (rice weevil). Its description in RNAcentral is "molybdenum cofactor biosynthesis protein 1, transcript variant X3". The record is from RNAcentral. Lineage: Eukaryota; Metazoa; Arthropoda; Insecta; Coleoptera; Curculionidae.